This 623-nucleotide ribosomal RNA is filed under the name uncultured eukaryote. RNAcentral's name for it is "SSU rRNA". It matches the Rfam family "Eukaryotic small subunit ribosomal RNA", at positions 610 to 1263 of the family's 1831-position model. The record is from RNAcentral.
UUGUUGCAGUUAAAAAGCUCGUAGUUGGACCUUGGGCAGGAGGCACGGGUUGGCCGAAUGGCUCGACUCGGGUCUCCGGCCUCUAUGGGUGGUCGUGCCUUUGGUACGGUUCGCCCGGGUUACUGUGAAGAAAUUAGAGUGUUUAAAGCAGGCGAUUGCUUGGAUACAUCAGCAUGGAAUAACAAGAUAGGACCUGGUUCCACUUGUUGGUUUGGGGGCUUUGGUAAUGAUUAAUAGGGCCAGUUGGGGGCAUUAGUAUUCAGUAGUCAGAGGUGAAAUUCUUGGAUUUACUGAAGACUAACUAGUGCGAAAGCAGUUGCCAAGGAUGUUUUCAUUAAUCAAGAACGAAAGUUAGGGGAUCGAAGACGAUCAGAUACCGUCGUAGUCUUAACUAUAAACGAUGCCGACUCGGGAUCGGCAGACGUCGUUAGCGACACUGUCGGCACCGUGUGAGAAAUCAAAGUUUUUGGGUUCUGGGGGGAGUAUGGUCGCAAGGCUGAAACUUAAAGGAAUUGACGGAAGGGCACCACCAGGAGUGGAGCCUGCGGCUUAAUUUGACUCAACACGGGAAAACUCACCAGGUCCGGACAUAGUAAGGAUUGACAGAUUGAGAGCUCUUUCUU